AGAUGAUGGAGCUGCUGACUGGAGAGGUUCCUGUAAGGUGUCAGGAUGUGGCGGUGUAUUUCUCCCUGGAGGAGUGGGAGUAUAUAGAAGGACAGGAGGAUCUGUACGAGGAGGCCAUGAUGGAGGAGCUCCGGCCUCUGACAUCUCCAGGUUCUGACUCCAGGAGGAGAAGUCCCCCCGAGAGAUGUCCCCGUCCUCUGUAUUCCCAGGACUGUCCAGAGGAGAAGCUCCCAGAGAACCAUCAGGUAGAUGGAGCUGAGCCCUAUACACAUCUAUAUAGGGGGGUCCUGCAGUCAUAUAGGGGUCAUAGAUGGUGAGGGUCUCUUAUGUGGAUCUGUUAGAUUUCCCACCUGUCUGCUGUAUUGUCCUGAAUUGUUACAGAUGACAAAUCAGGGGGAAGAUGUGACUGAUAUUAAAGUG
This is a long non-coding RNA of Bufo bufo (common toad), 420 nucleotides long. RefSeq lists it as uncharacterized. NCBI's taxonomy places the organism in Eukaryota, Metazoa, Chordata, Amphibia, Anura, Bufonidae. The transcript is spliced from 3 exons. The record is from RefSeq and is a predicted model, not a curated record.